UGGUGGAGCGAUUUGUCUGGUUAAUUCCGAUAACGAGCGAGACCUCAGUUUAUUAAUUAGUUGUGUGAAUUUCUAAUUCAUACCAACAGCUUCUUAGAGAGCUCUCGGUGAUUAGCCGAUGGAAGUUUGAGGCAAUAACA
RNAcentral lists this ribosomal RNA (140 nucleotides) under uncultured eukaryote. RNAcentral describes it as "partial 18S ribosomal RNA". It matches the Rfam family "Eukaryotic small subunit ribosomal RNA", at positions 1299 to 1458 of the family's 1831-position model. The record is from RNAcentral.